Myotis brandtii (Brandt's bat) is the source of this 75-nucleotide non-coding RNA. NCBI's taxonomy places the organism in Eukaryota, Metazoa, Chordata, Mammalia, Chiroptera, Vespertilionidae. The record is from Rfam.
GGCAGUUCUUGGGUUAUGCACCCUGGAAUCUGGUUCCCUCCUUUCUGGUUCUGGGUGCAUCACCUGAGAACUACA